AAUUCUCAAAGCAAGUCUUUUGUUAAUUCAAUCGGCUUUGCUUUGGAUUUGGAGGUUGCAGAUUCACGUCUGCUCUUCUUAAAUAAAUUAGCUGGAUCUCCGUGAACUUGGUUCCACUCGGCGUGAUAAGUAUCACUCGCUGAGGACACCCGUAAAAAAGGUGGCCAGGCUUGAGGAUGAGCCGCUUCCAACGGUCCAUUCGAUUGGACAAUUUAAUUUAUG
RNAcentral lists this unclassified non-coding RNA (222 nucleotides) under uncultured Ceratobasidium. Its description in RNAcentral is "sequence contains ITS2". Lineage: Eukaryota; Fungi; Basidiomycota; Agaricomycetes; Cantharellales; Ceratobasidiaceae. The record is from RNAcentral.